This is a non-coding RNA of Myodes glareolus (Bank vole), 2148 nucleotides long. NCBI's taxonomy places the organism in Eukaryota, Metazoa, Chordata, Mammalia, Rodentia, Cricetidae. The record is from RefSeq and is a predicted model, not a curated record.
UACUUAAACAAAAAUACAGAACUAGGGGCUCCUGUGUUUCAGUAUGGAAAACGGGACUAAAAAGUAAUAAAUAUAGACUCCAUACAACGCACUUUCUUAUUUAAUGUGUGUAAAGUUCAUGUCAACAAGUCACAGUGUGGGGAACAAUUCAGUGAAAGAAAAUCCAACCUGGCUCCCCACCCAAAGCUGGCUCCAGCAGCCGGGGCUGCAUCUACAGAGUGGUGGUGGUGCAUCACAAAGCCUCCUAUGCAGACAGGCAGAAGCCCACCCCCAGUUGGUGGUCAAGGAGAAAGGUCCCCCUUUGGAUAGUGUUUCCGCAGUGCUGUGACCUAAUCCUGAGCAGCUCUCCAGUCUGCACAGCGGCGUUCCUGCCUCCGCUCCAGGCACCUGGCUGGAUGCAGGAUGCUGGGGUGAAGCGGGCUAUUGUUUCUAACCUUGGGAGGCAGCACCUGGAGGCCUGUGUUUAGGCUACACCAUGUGUUUCCUGGAGGCAAAUGCAGCAAGGAAUAGAAUCAAAAUGGUUCCUAACACGACUGUUUCUACAUCAACAAGCUAUAAAUGUAUGGAAGAGCUCAACAUACACGUGAAAUAAACAGAAGGACCCCCGUGGACUUCAAGAGGAGUCUCCUACAAGGACCAGCAAUGUGGGAGACCUGACAGGUUCCAGAGCAAAAACUACACCAAGCACUGCUCAAGUUGGAGCCCAAAAGUGGGACACAAAACUAAAGGGUCUUCCCUGCCUAUGCCAUCCCAUGGUGCGCAUAGGAAAUGUCCCCAGGCCUGCUAACUGCUAUACUGGCUUCUCUGGCUCCUAAUGUGGUAACAAAUCGCUAUCCCUCAAUGGGCUGCAGUACUUGGGAGAGCCGGCCCUCACCUUGCCUGGGCAGUGCAGAAGAGCUGGCCCUAGUGACAUAGGCACAGUGGAGCCCGUGCCCGCCCAGGGUGUGAGGAUGAGAAAGCCAGCCCCAACCCUGCUGGGCUUUGGCACUCAGGUUCUUCUGAGUAUGCAGCUCAAGCAAACCCUCCACCUCCAGCCUCUAGAUGACUCCUCCUUCAAUGCUCAUCAAUCAAUUUCCCCAGCAAGAAACAGACACCCUGGCACUGUCCUGUAAGAAGUCUUCGCAGCCACCAGGGUACCAUUUUGUUACCCUAAAGGAUCGCUGAACUAUUCCGAAUUAAUUAAAUGCAUCAAUUUUGAGUUAUUUUUUCCCACAAAAGACAAUCACACACACACACACACAUAAAAAUAAUAAAAUUGUGCUGAUUCUUCCCAGAAGCCCACUUGUCCACUUGGAGACCAGGCUGUGGUUCAGAAGGGAGACCAGAGUGAGGUGAAUUUGUCUCCUGGGUACUGAACCUGUGACCUCAUUAGCGCAGGGUUCUAAUCAACUAAGCCACCAGGCACGUUCCUCACGGAAGGCACCAUGGCGGUAAUUUGCUAUAUGUUAAUUCUAAGAUUAACUACAGAUGAGACGCAUUCCUAGGGGGGCAAAAAUGAGAGAUUUGCUAAUUCUUGGGGAAAAAAAUUAGGGCAUCAGUUUUUGAACCCUUCAGUUUUAAAAUAUAAUUCUGUAAUCUUGAAAUGAUGUUCACCAUCGUCUAUACCUUCAUGAUUUUUUAAUCACUGUCUACAUCAGAAGGGCAAAGCAAAUGGUUCCACCAUUGCAACUGCAAAAUACUAAUCAAGUACUUAUUUAGAGAUUUCUCUAUAUAUUCUGUGUUUUACGCACAAUGCAGAAAAGACAGGUCCCAUGUUGAGCUGAAGAUGGGCUUCCAAAAUUUAGAGGGCUUCAUACCAUCACUGACACCACUACCACACAAGAUGAUAAGUCCGAAAGAGGCAAUCCUUCCUCCCCCAAGAAAAAGAGAAGGUUAAUGUUAUAGACAUGUCUCAAGACAGAGGAAGUUUAAUCCACUCCCCUCUCUUCCUUUUCCUUUAACCAGUCUUGACAAGUUAAUGUUUAAAAACAGUAAAUACGGCUGGAAUACUGUUUUGGCGCUGGCUUGGUAUCCUGUACUCAAAUUCCUAUAAAUAUUCUGCCUGCUUCCCAUCUCUGAGAACAAUUUCCGCUCUGAGGCUACAUUAAACACUCAGGCCAUUUCAGCUUCAGCUGCCCCCACCCUUACUGUGACUUUGAACUUGAUAUG